Homarus americanus (American lobster) is the source of this 373-nucleotide long non-coding RNA. RefSeq lists it as uncharacterized. Lineage: Eukaryota; Metazoa; Arthropoda; Malacostraca; Decapoda; Nephropidae. The transcript has 2 exons. The record is from RefSeq and is a predicted model, not a curated record.
GAGGGUGGGAGGUACACGUCCCUGCCUCUCACAGGUUUGUUAGGGUCAGGCUUUACCCAGGCGUGGAGGGUGGGAGGUACACGUCUCUGCCUCUCACAGGUUUGUUUGGGUCAGGCUUUACCCAGGCGUGGAGGGUGGGAGGUACACGUCUCUGCCUCUCACAGGUUUGUUUGGGUCAGGCUUUACCCAGGCAAAUAUAAACUGAUAAAUGUAUUGUUAUCAUUGUGCUUUUUAAUACUACAACACAACUUGGACAGUGACUGUUACCUCUACAACACAACUUGGACAGUGACUGGUACCUCUACAACACAACUUGGACAGUGACUGGUACCUCUACAACACAACUUGGACAGUGACUGGUACCUCUACAACA